Molecule: unclassified non-coding RNA, 311 nt
Filed under: Hevea brasiliensis (rubber tree)
Lineage: Eukaryota; Viridiplantae; Streptophyta; Magnoliopsida; Malpighiales; Euphorbiaceae
Source: RNAcentral
AAGGAAAAGGAUGCUGCUCAAGAAGCUGAAUUUGCUAUGAUGGAAAUUCUUUGUAAAAGGCUUUCUGUGAAGGUUAAGUUCUUAAGCCCAAUAUCUGUACAUGGAUGUAGAAGGCAUUUUCUUUUGUGGGUAAAAAGCUUAUAUAUGUAAGCAUGUGCCUGUGUCUUCACACACACACACACACACAGAGUUUGUGCUGCGCCUAGAUUUUGACCUUUAAUGGCCUAGCUUUCCGCAAAUUUCACAGUGAAAUGGUCAUGUAAGAGUAUAUCAAGUCAUAAUCUUUUCAAAUUUUGCUUGGCUUUGAUUGU